Benincasa hispida (wax gourd) is the source of this 741-nucleotide long non-coding RNA. RefSeq lists it as uncharacterized. The record is from RefSeq and is a predicted model, not a curated record. NCBI's taxonomy places the organism in Eukaryota, Viridiplantae, Streptophyta, Magnoliopsida, Cucurbitales, Cucurbitaceae.
CAAACCACAUCCAUUCAUCGAUGAUUCACCUUUCCAAAUCCCUAGCCAAUCGAUUAUCUUAAAAUGGUGAUCUUCUUCAAACGGCAAUCCCUAGCCCACGAUCAAUGUUAGGGUUUAAUUUCUUUCUUUGUUUGCUAAAUAAACCUUAACCCAAUUGAUCUUCUUCAAACGAGAUCUUCAUUUCCAACAUUUGCCAAAACCUUAACAUCUACCAAUCGAAAAACUCUAACAUCUUUGUUUAACAUCCGUCAUCAACUCAAGCAUCUCGUCGUUGAUCUUCCAAUCUCUGAAACAAAGACACAACUAUGGAAAGCGAACAAAAAAGGGGGGAAAAAGAACUAUGGAACUUGAAGAAUCAUUAGCCUAAACUGUCAAAGAAGAUGUUGGAGAAUGAAAAUGACCAGAAGGUUGCAAGAGAAUAGAAGAAUGCAAAGGACCAAAAGAAUACAAAAGACCAGAAAAAAACUUUUCCAAAGCAAACAAAGCAUUCUCCUAGAAUCAAGGACUGUGCCCCUAGUUUUGACUUAAAAAUCUCCCAGAUGUAAUACUAUAGUUGUGACUUAGUUUUAAGGAUAUUGUACUACUUUAAUAUUGUGGCUAUUAUAGUACCUUAGUUUUUGUGGAUACUGUAGCAUCAGUAAUUGAAAAAAAUCCACGAUAGAUUUCACAGUGACAUUAAUUUCAUUUGUAGUUGAUUUUGUCAUAUAAAUAUAGAAAAAUGAUAGAUCGUUAGUUGAAUCA